AUUGAACGCUGGCGGAAUGCUUUACACAUGCAAGUCGAACGGCAGCACGGGGCAACCUGGUGGCGAGUGGCGAACGGGUGAGUAAUACAUCGGAACGUGCCCAAUCGUGGGGGAUAACGUAGCGAAAGUUACGCUAAUACCGCAUACGAUCUACGGAUGAAAGCGGGGGAUCGCAAGACCUCGCGCGAAUGGAGCGGCCGAUGUCAGAUUAGGUAGUUGGUGGGGUAAAGGCUCACCAAGCCAACGAUCUGUAGCUGGUCUGAGAGGACGACCAGCCACACUGGAACUGAGACACGGUCCAGACUCCUACGGGAGGCAGCAGUGGGGAAUUUUGAACAAUGGGCGCAAGCCUGAUCCAGCCAUUCCGCGUGCAGGAUGAAAGCCUUCGGGUUGUAAACUGCUU
Molecule: ribosomal RNA, 403 nt
Filed under: uncultured bacterium
Lineage: Bacteria
Description: bacterial SSU rRNA
Rfam family: Bacterial small subunit ribosomal RNA
Source: RNAcentral